AAGUUAUACACUUAUUGAAUAAGCUUAUGAUUUGAAAUUAUAAUGAAAGGGUUUAAGCCCCUUAAUAACUUG
Molecule: transfer RNA, 72 nt
Filed under: Theopompa sp. FY-2016a
Lineage: Eukaryota; Metazoa; Arthropoda; Insecta; Mantodea; Gonypetidae
Description: tRNA-Ser
Source: RNAcentral